Canis lupus familiaris (dog) is the source of this 1943-nucleotide long non-coding RNA. RefSeq lists it as uncharacterized. NCBI's taxonomy places the organism in Eukaryota, Metazoa, Chordata, Mammalia, Carnivora, Canidae. The transcript is spliced from 2 exons. The record is from RefSeq and is a predicted model, not a curated record.
GCCGCCGCCGCCGCCGCCCGGCUCCGAGGGAUCCCGCCGGACCUGCCCCUUCCACUGCGGCUCACUCUGCCCUGCCUGGCGCCGGUCCUGGAUCGCCGGCUUCCUAUUUAUACCGUACUGGGCUCCUCUCGACUCACUUUACCAUCCCGUUUCAGGCUGGCGACUUCGCUGCUGAGCUGAAACUGCUAAUUUCUGUGACCAGCUUUUUUCUUAGCUGUGAUCUGGAUGAAUGAGUAGCUGUCUCACAGAGAUGACAAAAAUAAACUCUAAUCCCCCCCAAAAUUUCCACUACAUCUUUCUCAUGCAUAGAUUUAUGAUCUUCAAGCGCUCUGUGCAAUAUGCAAACUUUUUUUUGUGUCUGUAUAUAUGCUGUUGUUUCCAGAUUUCACUACACUGGUAUGCUGCUCCCCCCCCCCCCCCAUGAAAUGCAGAAAACGUCUGAUCUCAAAGUAUGCCAAGAUGCCACUUUCUAGUGUCUCGGUAUCUGGGGUUUGAGUCUAAUUUGGAAGACACUAGUCCUUGCCUAAAAGGUGAGUGGCUGAGUGUACAAACUGGGGGUGGGGGAAUUAGAGCUGGUAGAUGGAAUAGAAGACAGCCCUUCGCUUUUUAUUUGUUUCCCUGCACUAUACAAGCUUUAUGAUCUUGUUGGAAAACAUAUUUUCUCUAUCAUUUUGUCUGGUUAAACAACCAUCUCUGAACUUCUGUGUCAGCUCCUCAACAGAUAAGAGUUCAGAAGUCAUAUUUUGUUUUUAAUUGAAAGAUUAUCAUAUUGUCAGAUUUGUCUUUCAGUUAAGAGUCUUUGAAUUGCAGGAGCUAGAAUCAAGUGCUGGGAAACCCAGCUGCAAUUUCACAGAUGUAACCUUUAAACUUUAGACCUCAUCUGAUACAUAAGGAUGACCACAUAAAGCUCACAUUUUGGCCCUGCUUCACAUGCAAAAUGAACCCCAAAAUGAUUCUGGAAUUUUCACUGUGCCAGAGAUUCAUGUGCAUUUUGGUAGAGGACAUGUUCUCUAGACUUAUCUCAUGAUAUAUUGUGCCCUUACAUUUAUAGCCCUGCAUUUUGGUUGUCAAUGGGGGUUGGAGGUGUCCCAGAAAGGAAGAAAGCAAAAAAAAAAAAAAAAAAGCAAAAAAAAAAAAAAAAAAAAAAAAAGGCAUGCCCUUGAAUAGAAGGAGCAUGAAAGAAAGCUGGACAUGAGUUAAACUGAGUUUUCUUUGCUAUCAAAUAUAUGAAUAUGAUUCAUUCUAAUUUAUAUAUGCUCUGAUUAGUAAACUUAUUAAAAUACACAUCAGGGCACCACUGAAAAAGGCUGUCUUCCCACUUUCCCUUUUGAUUUGUGAGAUAUGGAAAGACACCUGCUUAAGAGAGGGGGGAAAACUGAAAAUUCUUUGGUUUAGAAAUAGGGAAUUCCCCAUUUAGAAUAAUAAACAUUAACAUGCAUGUGGGAUAUUUGCUCUUAAAUAAAUGAAGAAGGAUCAAACUGAAGCAUUUACUCCUCACAACGGUCCUUCUCUAUCAAGGUCCUAGGUUAUCUGAGAGUAAGAUACUUUAUUCAGAUCUUGUUGAGAUGCUGUAUUUCAGCUUUCAUAUUUAUAAUAAAAAGCUCAAAUAUAUGGUAAAAUAAUAGAAAAGGAUUUUUUGUUUUGUUUUGAGCAAGGAAAAGAAAGAGAACAGAUUCUUCAAAUCUUCUGGCCCUACUAUUUGUUUUGAAUGUUCCCUUUUUUGAAUUUCCCUUAGUUAGGUCUUGGACAGGAAGAUUGUGUAAUUGUGAUACAGUGUCUUUUGGGGGGGUUCUGUGCAUUAGCAAUUAAAGCUAUCAUGUCUGUGCAGUAUCACCAAAUUCUCAUACAUUGAAAGUAUAAUUUGUAUUGUCUGCUUUUGAUGUUCAGCUCUUAUGAGCUUCCAAUGAAGUAUUUGGAAAUAAAUCCAAACAUGAGUAAGAGUA